AUUGAACGCUGGCGGCAGGCCUAACACAUGCAAGUCGAACGGUAACAGGAAGCAGCUUGCUGCUUCGCUGACGAGUGGCGGACGGGUGAGUAAUGUCUGGGAAACUGCCUGAUGGAGGGGGAUAACUACUGGAAACGGUAGCUAAUACCGCAUAACGUCGCAAGACCAAAGAGGGGGACCUUCGGGCCUCUUGCCAUCGGAUGUGCCCAGAUGGGAUUAGCUAGUAGGUGGGGUAACGGCUCACCUAGGCGACGAUCCCUAGCUGGUCUGAGAGGGUGACCAGCCACACUGGAACUGAGACACGGUCCAGACUCCUACGGGAGGCAGCAGUGGGGAAUAUUGCACAAUGGGCGCAAGCCUGAUGCAGCCAUGCCGCGUGUAUGAAGAAGGCCUUCGGGUUGUAAAGUACUUUCAGCGGGGAGGAAGGCGAUAAGGUUAAUAACCUUGUCGAUUGACGUUACCCGCAGAAGAAGCACCGGCUAACUCCGUGCCAGCAGCCGCCGUAA
Molecule: ribosomal RNA, 506 nt
Filed under: uncultured bacterium
Lineage: Bacteria
Description: partial 16S ribosomal RNA
Rfam family: Bacterial small subunit ribosomal RNA
Source: RNAcentral